Long non-coding RNA from Columba livia (rock pigeon), 7172 nucleotides. RefSeq lists it as uncharacterized. The record is from RefSeq and is a predicted model, not a curated record. Lineage: Eukaryota; Metazoa; Chordata; Aves; Columbiformes; Columbidae. The transcript is spliced from 2 exons.
CGCGCAUGCCCGCGCCCCCCGCGCCUGCGCGCCGCGCCCCGCGACGCCGCCGGCAGCCGGGCCUGCCGCCCGCACCGAGGGGGUCGCGGGGCCCGCGGCGGCCCCGCGCUGCCCCUCCGCGCCCCGCGCAGCGCCGCCGCCGCCCGGCCCGGCCCGGCUUGGCUUGGCUCGGCCCGGCCCGGCCCGACCCGACCCGACCCCGUCUGGUCCGGCCCGGCCCGGCCCGGCGCAGCCGCCGCGGAGCGGAGCGGAGCGGGGCCGGCGGCCGAAGAGCCUCGCCGGGAAGGCAGCCGCUGGCGUUGCGCGGCAGCUCGGGGUUGCGCGCCCCGCGCCUCGCAGCGCCCCGCAGUAAGUCCCUGGGACGCGCUUUCGGUAACUGCUGCGCGGCCCCCGCACCCCAGCGCGGCCCGAAGGCGGCCCCGGGCUGCGGUGUCGGGGCUCCCCCUCCCCCCGACUUCUUCCAGCUGCGCUGCUGUGGAUCACCUAUAACCACAACCACAGCCAUUUUGUUGUCCAAAUACUACCUAAUCUCUGCUUGAGUACAGGCUUCGUCUGUUUACAAAUAGAUAUUUUUCUUGUUUUGGUGUUUUAAGCUGCAGUGCAGCAGCUUUCUGAACUCACAGGUCCCACUCCUUGCAAAUAAUACCGAGGUGUUCAUCGUACUGUACAUAACCAUACAUGCUUUUCAUUUAAUUCUAGGACUGUGACAUUUUUCGUUUAUUUCUCUUGGGAGGUAAGGAUAGAAAAUAGCACUACUGUGAAAAUUUUUGUACUCAUACCUAAUUUGAGUAAGGGGUUACAGCAUAAACGUAUUGCUCCAGCUCUCACCUAUGAAACCAAACAUAAAUGCCACUGGUGAAGGACUUGGCUUCGUGUAAGCAGCCUUACUGGCUCCCCACGCAGCAUCAUUUCUGCAGCUGUACAGCCCCAGCAAGAGCACUGAUGGAAAUUUAUGGUUCAACAGAUACCACUCAACAGUGGUGGUGUGAGCUUUAUGUGGUCCCGUCUCCGUCCUGCCUCUCCUCCCUGCCACGCAUUUAAGACAUUUUGUCACCACUUUUUGCUGGUUCACACUGUUGUGAGACAACAUUGAAGCUGAAUAUGGAAUUAAUCUAGACUCAAGAAAAAAGAACAGCAAUUAGCGCCCACUCAAGGGUUGCAGCGGUGGUCAGAGGGGCAGGACAACAGUUGCUGAUGUGAGCCCUGCUGCCUGCAGAAAGGUACAUGGUACUAUGGUUUACAAUGGAUUUAAGUAAAUUUCUUACAGUUUCAUUAAGACUAGGCUCUUUGCAGCACCAAAAUGGGUAAAUGUUUGGGGUGAAGAACAAAUCCUUUGCCUUAUAUAUACUGUCAACAGAUGCAGUGUUAAAUACAGGCAGCAUCUACAUUCCACUUCUUACGAAAAGUAGCUGGAAUAUACAAGUCCCAUCAUUAAAAGCCAGAGGCAAGCCUAAAAGCUUUCAUACCGUAUGGCCUGGCCAGAGUGGCUCCAGUCAUGUAACAUUAGCUACAGGAACACAAUUAAAACAAUUGAAGCAGAAAGCUCACCACAGUACGCCUCAAAAGAGAACCAGUCAAUCACAGACUUGUUAGCAACCAACAUGAAGCAGCCAUAAGAUGUGUGACCUUAGGUAUAUUACACAUGGAAUUUCCAGAAGCUGGAAGAAUAGUUGUGGUAUAAUACAACGCCCUGGCCAAGACCUCUUCUGGAAUAUUAAAUACUGUUCCAGCCACCAGUUUAAUUUAAUCUUCCUGCAAAAAAGUGUGGAAAGGGUCAUUAGAAUGAUCAGAGAAAUUAAGAGUCUAUCAUAUGAGAAGAGCUUGACUUAGCUGAGCAAAAUUUAGGUGAUGGAUAUGACUGAUGUUUUUAAUUAUAAGGAGGCAUAAUCAUCAGUGAGGAAGAAAAAAUAAAUAAGCAUAAAGUGCUUAUGUUGAGCUUGAAAACCCUGCUCCCUACACAUAAAACUCUUUAGUCAGAAAUCGCAAGAUGGAAUUCCUUAGGAGGAAUGAUAAAUGAUGUGAAGUUAAUAGUCAACCAUGCUUGGCAGCCGUGCUCAAAUUCACUGCAAGAUAGUUGAGUGAAAGUCUUGACAGUGGCCAAAUAGUGUCAUAAUUAAAGAAGUUACACUGCACAGCUUAUACCAUAAAACUUCUGUGAUUACCCAAGACGUGUCUGGAGAGAAGAUAGAAAAGAAAGUCAUGUGAGCACCCAGGAAAUCCCCGUCAAUGAAAACCAACAUAAGAUUUCAGGAAAGUAUGUAUGGCCAAACGUCUAACUAAAAUUAAACAUGUCCACAGGAUACACAAGCAGUAAAGCAAUUCCUAACCACACAACUGAGAAAAAAGGGGAGGGGAAAACUAUUUAAUACAAGCUGCCACAAACCAGGCAAAAAGAGUGAAGAAACUUUCCAGUUUUAACACAUGGCACUAAUCUACAUGCUGCUUACCAUGACACACUGCAGAACUACAGUCUAGGCUCCAACAGCAACAGGCCAUAUGAGGGAAAAUUAGCAUAAAAUCAAAGAGGCAAGAUGUACUAAUUCCUUCCUAAAAAGAAACAAUCCAGUGACUUACAGUUUGAGAGAAAGGUUUCCAAAGCCCUCCCAAAGGAAUUCUUCCUCCUCCCUUCCAUAUGUAUUGAAGAUUACCAUUAAACAAAUGGUUCUGCAAUCAUUAGAACAGACAUGCACAGCUUUCCAACAAUCAGCAUCUUCUGUUUGAAAAGUGCAAGUUCUGCUUUGAUUAUGUCUAUGCUACCUCUGUGAUCUGCACCAACGAACGAACCCCAUCCAUGAGCAAACCAUAGACUGAUAAGUCUCUGUUGGCUUAUAGAGCGCCAAUCCUGAAGCUGCAGAAAAGUAGCCCCAAGAAUACCACUUACUUCACUCCAGACUAAUGCCAAAUCAGACUAGUGUAUGUGGCAUGGACAUGUGUUAUGCUCUAGAGCCCUAUAGCGAAAUAGGAAGAGAGCUGGUCUAACACCUUUUCCCAUGCUUGGGAAUAUACGUAGUUCCCUCUUGUGAAUGUGAAUGUGCUACAGCUUUACUGUAGCAGGGACAUUCAGGUCGUUUCUUCUUCCUUUUUCCUGACAUCUACUUUCACAAAAUUUGCAGAAAGAUGAUUAUAUUUUACACUUUUACUCCUCCUUCAAAUUUGUUUUGUAUUAAUCAAUGGAUCCAAAUCUUUUGGGUGGGGAGGAAGAAAGGGAGGGAAAAGCGCAAAUGAUCACAGAAUACUUAUUUUCAUAGGAAAUUAUUUAAAAAACUGCACAUGAACGUGUAGUUUAAACAUCCUCUGUUUCUUGUCCACCUGCUCACCAAUACAGAAAUUUAAUUCUUCCAUGACCUUGAACAAGUCACUCUGCCAUAGAAAAUUUAAGUCAGUCAGUAAAAGUACCUCUUUCCCUCCCCAGUCCCGGUAGAUCUUUUUUAUUUCAAAUGCUAAGUAGGGGCUUCCUUUUACUGUGUGUUUUUUCAGAAUUUAAUGUAAUGUAGCCUUGAUCUUGGUUACAGCUUCUAAAUACUACAGUGAUCCAAUCAUAACACAGACUUUAAAAAGUAAAACUGUAAGCAAAUUAAGGUAUUUAAUUAAUAAGCAGCAAAAUAUGGAUGAAACCUUAACUCUUUUUAAUCCAUGUAUCACUGGUCUUCUGAUAAGAAGAUCUCCAAAUGUAAGCUUUCUACUAAGUAACCAGAAGAUAAAAAUCAUAUGUUCCUUUAUCUGCUUACUAGAAUUAUAGUUAAAGACUUCAGCUUUAUAAAAGCACAGGAAAAGUUACCACAUUUAGAAGAGAUUCACAGCUGUGUAUCAAUAUUUGGCUUAUGUAGAGAUCAAUCCAACAUUUAUAUAAUUUUCGGGAACUAAAUGUUAAGAGGUAACAAACUAAAUCACAUGUGGCUAUCAGGAACACCAUAUGUAAUCACCAUGUACAAAUAAAUAAUGACAUGAUUCCAUUUCAACUCCACUGUUAUACACUGAUAAAAUCUCAGGAGUUUGCUGAAGCUGCAUGUGUAGUCAUAACAACAAAAAUUUGUGACCCUCUGCUUUAAAUCAUGUAUACCUGGCAAUAGCUGCACCAGAUGGCUUUAAACUGGGUACAAAAGUAUUACAAAAACCAGCUGUAUAAGGCUUCAGUAUCAUAAUGAGAUUAUAAUCAUAUGAUGUUUUGUGUGACAAAGUCAUUAUGAUUUAAGCAGUUUGUAAAGAGAUUCGUUAGUGCUUCUCAGGAUCCUAUUUUGCAAUGGAUUUACCACAAUAGUGGUUUUUAUGUUACAUAGCAGAAAUUAUUACAUAGCAGACAGUUUUAUGAAUCCAGGUAUCUACUUUGGUGGGGAUGGAACAGUAGAUGAAUCAUAAGACUUCCUUAAAGAUAGUCGGUGGUGCAGUUUGCAUAAGAAAAGCACCAGCAAACUAGCUGGUUAUCAGUCUCAGAUGUACAGAAACUUCAGUCCUCCUCCAGGAUUUUGAGAAGUGUAAAACUAAUUUAUAUGUUCACUCAUGUGCACAUGAUUUUUACAGUGGAUUUUUACACACCUGCUAAUUUUAACCUGUAAUUUUCUAUCUGUAGUCUUCCUUUCUACAGUGGAUAAAUGAAGUUUCUGUUUAAUAUUACAGCUGUAGAUCGGGGGAAAUGACACCAGAGAAGUUUGUAUUCAAAAGGUGCAAAACCCACCAGAUAGAUAGUCCUGCCAUUCUCUGGUGAAACUGAUUCGGAAACUUUGGGGUUUUUUUAAUACAGUGUAGCAUCCUAGUCUGCUAUGUGAUAAUUAGAGUAGCUAAAUGAAUUGAAUAGUACAGAUACUUUAGAAGUCCGAUAAGUGGGUUUUUGCAAAAAGAUGGAUACAGGAUAGCCAUUAAAACAACUCAGCACUUAGCAAGCCAAAUUAAAAGCCACUAUGAGCCAAUCUCCCUAAAGCCACUCUGGCCAGUUCAGUCCCUAUGCUAUUUCUGUUCUCUUCGUAAUUUCAGAAGAUGUCUCAAACACCAUGUGAGUGCCAUCACAGAAGACUUGAGCUAGGAAAGUGUAUUAAAUAGACACUUAUGGCAGAGAAUUCUAUUUUAACAUCCUCCAAAAUAACACAAGAAAAAAAAAUCUAAAUUAAGCUUUUGGUUCCAUCUUAGCCAAAGAAGCCAGCAUUUAAAAAAGAAACAGAAAAAUGGAGAAUUGAAACAUAAAUUCUAAGCAAGAUACUCUUGUAUCCCAACAAAAACAUAUUUCUCAAACAAGUGUUGCAAGUUACUUUACCCCCAACAAUGACUGAAACACUAUAGCAGCAGUAAUCAGAUGAAACAGGAAAUCUAAGGAGACGCAUGCUGCACAAAUCUAUGAAUAGAAAAUGCACAACAACAAAACUUACAACAGUGAACUCUGGAAGGUUUAAAGAUAAAACGCUACUAAAAAAACAGGCCAUGAACUAGAGGUGGAAAUUAACAGUUGCUACACAUUUCAUAUCCAAGAAAGUUAUGCAAGCACUGGAAAAAAAAAUAAAUCGCACAUUCUUUGGUUCCAGUGUCUAAAAGCUUGUUCUAAACAAUUUUGCUCAAGUAUUGGUUAGACUCUAAAUCCAUUAACAUAGCACUGUACUGCAGCUAAUGUAUGCUACUUUUCAAGAGGAUUAUUUGUCUAAUGUAUUACCAUAUCUAGACUGUUUCUGAUACCAAAGCUAGUAAUGGUAACUAUCAUUUAUCAUAAGACUGCUUUGUACAGUGCAGACAUGCAUCUUCACUGGGCACAGCAACUUGCCAAUUGCUUGUAAGAAGCAAAGCGGUUUCAUCUUUUUCUGAAAUAGUUCCAGUUUUCAGCCAGCAGUCCCUGAGAGUUCCGUUCAGACCCAUCUUCCUUCCCAAUACUUUCUCUACCUCAAGAGCAUUCUCCGUGUCCCAGCUUCCACCACACACUUGAACAUCCAGUCUCAGCACUAUGGUACAACCUGUAUGAAAUACUUAUCUCAAACUCACAUUUUAAAGCACACUACCCAGGGUCCCUGGUCUAACACUUCAUCAGGUGGGAGUACAUUCACUGCAGAAGACUGAGGGGUAGAUUCUUAACGGUGUGGCUGUUUGAGAAGAUGUGAGACAUGACUGACAGAUCAAAGAGUUCUUCAUAGGCUAAAAUUCAACUUCCCUGUAUUGACAGCUACUCAGGAAAGAUCACAGGGGUAUUGUUUUAAAACACUGUGUUUCAUACCGCUUCUUGAAAUUACUAAGCAUAUAUAGCACUGGUGCAGCGAAUCACUUGUAUUUUACUUAUUAAAUAUUUAUCUGUUUUGUUUUAUUUGAAACAGGUUUUUGGUGAAUAAAAGCAAUAGUAAUAUUUUUGAAGGCCAUAUCCAGAGUCUAGAGGAAGGCUCUUAACCAUCCAGUUGGGAAAGAAAAUAAGAAACUUGUAGGAGUUCCCUGCGUUUUUGAAAGGCAUAGCAAAGUUAUUUAGAUUUUGAGAUAUAAAAACACUUGGGAAUGGAGAAAGUUUUUUCUCCUCAGUAUUAAGUCCACAUUCAAACAGCAUUCUACAUUCCUAGGGUUUUCUCUCUCCCAGUGCCCGAGUGAAUAACGAAAACCACAAAACAUGUGUCCCCAAAGAUCUUCAAACAUUUCUCAUGAGCUCUUACAGGAAGCAGACAUGUUGAAAUCACCAAAGAAAGCAAGCCUGUUCGUCUUGUAUUUCUGGCUAAGGCUGGAAGUGGAGCGCAAGAAAUCAGUUGUGUCUCGUCUGUUGUACAGGGAAACCUCUUGCAGCUCCUCACAUCAGCGUGCUAACUUUGCGAAGAGAUUUGUCCUGAUGAGAUUCACAUCCCAACCUGGAAAAGUCAAUGAUAGGAUCUCCUGUAAGCACUGCAAAUUCCGUACUCAGUCCAAAUGGAUCCCGAAGGCCUUAGCAGGAAUUUGGGCGUAGUGAAUGACAUGCCUGACAGCUUAAAGGCCACUGCAGUAGAAAACAUGUUUUAUAUUUUAGCAUUGGCUUACAUACAAUGAGAAAUUGUUUCACAGACAUUUUGAUACCAUCAUCCUUGAAAACGUCUCACAGGCCACCCUACACUUCUGCCUUCAAACUCUUUGCCAGACAUUUUACAGAGGUGAUAUGGCUGCAGAGACCAGGUAUGGAUGGACCUCAGUUAUGGUCUCACUGAUUUGAUGAACUUUUGAAUUAAAUCCUCCUCUUAAUGAUAUAAAUA